Molecule: transfer RNA, 541 nt
Filed under: uncultured cyanobacterium
Lineage: Bacteria; Bacillati; Cyanobacteriota
Description: partial 16S-23S ribosomal RNA intergenic spacer
Rfam family: tRNA (bases 212-284)
Source: RNAcentral
CAGGGAGACAACAAAAUGUUUAAUAUUAUUAUUUUGUCACCUUAGGUCGAUCGGUAUCUCACGUUCUUAAUUUGUUAAGAAUUUCAUUUCCUAAGUUUUUCUAGGUCACACCCAUUAUUUUUCCUGGGCCAUUAGCUCAGGUGGUUAGAGCGCACCCCUGAUAAGGGUGAGGUCCCUGGUUCAAGUCCAGGAUGGCCCAUAUCUCUAUGUUGGGGGUAUAGCUCAGUUGGUAGAGCGCCUGCUUUGCAAGCAGGAUGUCAGCGGUUCGAGUCCGCUUACCUCCACUGAUUACCACCUCUUCCAUAACCGGUAGAAAGGAAGUGUUUUGAGUUGUGAUCAUUAUUCUGAACGAAUCUAGCUUCCUAAUAAAAUCAUUAAGAUGCUGGACUCAUUGAAUUAAUUUCAUUGUUUUCAGAGAACCUUGACAACUGCAUAGAUUAUUUUUAAAGACAAUAAGCAUCUUUAGGAUGCAGAUUUAUUAUUUGUGCGAAUGCAUUAAUAACAAUUCUAUUAAGCUGAUGCUUCAAUUUUUGAAGUUAUU